RNAcentral lists this ribosomal RNA (270 nucleotides) under uncultured archaeon. RNAcentral describes it as "partial 16S ribosomal RNA". It matches the Rfam family "Archaeal small subunit ribosomal RNA", at positions 477 to 747 of the family's 1478-position model. The record is from RNAcentral.
CAGCACCUCAAGUGGUCAGGAUGAUUAUUGGGCCUAAAGCAUCCGUAGCCUGCUUUGUUAGUUUUCGGUUAAAUCCAUACGCUCAACGUAUGGGCUGCCGGGAAUACUGCAGCGCUAGGGAGUGGGAGAGGUAGACGGUACUCGGUAGGAAGGGGUAAAAUCCUUUGAUCUAUUGAUGACCACCUGUGGCGAAGGCGGUCUACCAGAACACGUCCGACGGUGAGGGAUGAAAGCUGGGGGAGCAAACCGGAUUAGAGACCCGAGUAGUCC